UACAGAGGGGGCAGGCGUUGUUCGGAAUUACUGGGCGUAAAGGGCGCGUAGGCGGCCUUCUAAGUCGGACGUGAAAUCCCCGGGCUCAACCCGGGAACUGCGUCCGAUACUGGAAGGCUUGAAUCCGGGAGAGGGAUGCGGAAUUCCAGGUGUAGCGGUGAAAUGCGUAGAUAUCUGGAGGAACACCGGUGGCGAAGGCGGCAUCCUGGACCGGUAUUGACGCUGAGGCGCGAAAGCCAGGGGAGCAAACGGG
RNAcentral lists this ribosomal RNA (253 nucleotides) under uncultured bacterium. RNAcentral describes it as "partial 16S ribosomal RNA". It matches the Rfam family "Bacterial small subunit ribosomal RNA", at positions 524 to 776 of the family's 1533-position model. The record is from RNAcentral.